This 400-nucleotide ribosomal RNA is filed under the name uncultured bacterium. RNAcentral describes it as "bacterial SSU rRNA". It matches the Rfam family "Bacterial small subunit ribosomal RNA", at positions 356 to 773 of the family's 1533-position model. The record is from RNAcentral.
GGGGAAUAUUGCGCAAUGGGGGAAACCCUGACGCAGCAACGCCGCGUGAAGGAAGAAGGCUUUCGGGUCGUAAACUUUUGUCUUCAGGGACGAUAAUGACGGUACCUGAGGAGGAAGCCACGGCUAACUACGUGCCAGCAGCCGCGGUAAUACGUAGGUGGCAAGCGUUGUCCGGAUUUACUGGGUGUAAAGGGCGUGUAGGCGGGAUGGCAAGUCAGAUGUGAAAUACCAAGGCUCGACCUUGGGGCUGCAUUUGAAACUGCUAUUCUUGAGUGUCGGAGAGGGAAGCGGAAUUCCUAGUGUAGCGGUGAAAUGCGUAGAUAUUAGGAGGAACACCAGUGGCGAAGGCGGCUUUCUGGACGAUAACUGACGCUGAGGCGCGAAAGCGUGGGGAGCAAAC